Molecule: ribosomal RNA, 468 nt
Filed under: uncultured bacterium
Lineage: Bacteria
Description: partial 16S ribosomal RNA
Rfam family: Bacterial small subunit ribosomal RNA
Source: RNAcentral
GACGAACGCUGGCGGCGUGCUUAACACAUGCAAGUCGAACGGAAAGGCCCUGCUUUUGUGGGGUGCUCGAGUGGCGAACGGGUGAGUAACACGUGAGUAACCUGCACUUGACUUUGGGAUAACUUCAGGAAACUGGGGAUAAUACCGGAUAGGAGCUCCUGCUGCAUGGUGGUGGUUGGAAAGUUUCGGCGGUUGGGGAUGGUCUCGCGGCUUAUCAGCUUGUUGGUGGGGUAGUGGCUUACCAAGGCUUUGACGGGUAGCCGGCCUGAGAGGGUGACCGGCCACAUUGGGACUGAGAUACGGCCCAGACUCCUACGGGAGGCAGCAGUGGGGAAUAUUGCACAAUGGGCGGAAGCCUGAUGCAGCAACGCCGCGUGCGGGAUGACGGCCUUCGGGUUGUAAACCGCUUUCGCCUGUGACGAAGCGUGAGUGACGGUAAUGGGUAAAGAAGCACCGGCUAACUACGUG